AGUGGCGGACGGGUGAGUAACGCGUGGGUAACCUGCCUCAUACAGGGGGAUAACAGUUAGAAAUGACUGCUAAUACCGCAUAAGACCACAGCACCGCAUGGUGCAGGGGUAAAAACUCCGGUGGUAUGAGAUGGACCCGCGUCUGAUUAGGUAGUUGGUGGGGUAACGGCCUACCAAGCCGACGAUCAGUAGCCGACCUGAGAGGGUGACCGGCCACAUUGGGACUGAGACCCGGCCCAA
RNAcentral lists this ribosomal RNA (240 nucleotides) under uncultured bacterium. RNAcentral describes it as "partial 16S ribosomal RNA". It matches the Rfam family "Bacterial small subunit ribosomal RNA", at positions 94 to 334 of the family's 1533-position model. The record is from RNAcentral.